AGAGCUUUAGUUUAGUUAAAAUAUCUGUGUUGCAAGCAGGAGAUGUAGUAUUGCAAGCUCUA
RNAcentral lists this transfer RNA (62 nucleotides) under Pareas boulengeri. RNAcentral's name for it is "tRNA-Ala". It matches the Rfam family "tRNA". From Rfam's summary of the family: Transfer RNA (tRNA) molecules are approximately 80 nucleotides in length. Their secondary structure includes four short double-helical elements and three loops (D, anti-codon, and T loops). The record is from RNAcentral. Lineage: Eukaryota; Metazoa; Chordata; Lepidosauria; Squamata; Pareidae.